GCCUGUAAUCCCAGCACUUUGGGAGGCUGAGGCAGGUGGAUCACGAGGUCAGAAGAUUGAGACCAGCCUGGCCAACAUAGUGAAACCCCAUCUCUACUAAAAAUACAAAAAUUAGCCAAGCGUGGUGGUUGUGCCUGUAAUCCCAGCUACUCGGGAGACUGAGGCAGGAGAAUCACUUGAACCUGGGAGGCAGAGAUUGUAGCGAGCCAAGAUCGUGCCACCGCACUCCAGCCUGGGUGACAGAGCGGGACUCCACCUCAAACAAACGAACGAAACCAAAUCCUGAAACAAGGGAGAAAAAAGUGGAGGCGUCACUCUAGCUGGCGUGGGUAUUAAAGCCUCAUCCAUCGUGACAGUGUUGAGAAAGUGACGUGUGUGCAGCAGGGUAGACUCCCGAACCAACAGAACAGAACAGAAAACCCAGAAAGUGACCACCACAAACAUGCCCACCUGAUUUUUGACAAAGGCAUACAAACAAUUCAGUGGAGGAAGAGCAGCUUUUCAACAAAUGGUGCUGGAAGAAUCAGACAUCUAUCGGCCAAAAAAAAAAAAAAAAAAAAACAAAGGAACUUUGACCUAAGUCUCAUAACUUAAACAAAAAUUAACUCAAAACGUACCCAGAGUAGCCAAACCCAUAGGAACAGAAAGCAGAUCUGAGGCUGCCGGGGGGAAAUCCGUGUACGUUUUUUGCUCUUGCCGGUGACACGUGUGCUCCCGUCAUCUUAGGGCGACGAUUGUUUGGUGUUGCUCUGUGUGUGCUGUUUUCUAACCCUUGGUAGGUGUGGCACAUGUCACGCCAUUUUUCACUAGUAGCUAAAGAGAGAUUCAUCCUGUUUUAAUUUUCUAGUACUUGCCUUAUUUUUCUCUGACCACAUGUGUGAGGAACCAUGUCCCUCUGUGUGAGGACUUACGAGGAGCCUCUGCCUCCCCGUCACUGCCCUCCCAGGGAUACUUAUUUUUGUUGGCAUGUGGAGAAAACGAAGACUCGUCACUGGGUGCAGUGGUGCACGGCUGUGGGACAGCAAGGCAGGAGGAUUGCUUGAGCCCAGGAGUUUGAGACCAGCCCGGGCAAUAUGGUGUGUGAGACGUGUCUCCUUUCUCUCCGCCAAGAGUGAACGCCCUUUGACCAGGCCUUGCGGUGGUUCGGGGAGAGACGUCCAUGAGGCAAGUGUAUCCUGCGAGCCUGGCCCAUCACCCGACCUCUAGGCUUCACAAACUUCAGAUCUGAGCAACACGCAGUUUUGACCCUGUGGCUCCCUCUCCAAGUGACUUCUCCGGGUCCCGCAGAGCAGGCCCAGCAGAUCCCAGGCCAACCUGCGAGGACCCCGGCCUCCCACCCACAGGAGGGUUUUCCUGUGGUCCUAAGCGGCCUCCUUCCAGCACGGCAGGGAGACCUGGGCCUGCAGGGACUUGCCGGGAGAGCCCGGGGCCACCAGGGCCGUCCUGCGAUGGACAUAGCCUCAGGCCUGGCUCCAGCUUCUAGCAGAGU
This 1489-nucleotide long non-coding RNA is filed under the name Macaca mulatta (Rhesus monkey). RNAcentral describes it as "lncRNA (ENSMMUG00000056132.1)". The record is from RNAcentral. Lineage: Eukaryota; Metazoa; Chordata; Mammalia; Primates; Cercopithecidae.